AUUGAACGCUGGCGGCAGGCCUAACACAUGCAAGUCGAGCGGAUGACGGGAGCUUGCUCCUUGAUUCAGCGGCGGACGGGUGAGUAAUGCCUAGGAAUCUGCCUGGUAGUGGGGGACCACGUUUCGAAAGGAACGCUAAUACCGCAUACGUCCUACGGGAGAAAGCAGGGGACCUUCGGGCCUCGCGCUAUCAGAUGAGCCUAGGUCGGAUUAGCUAGUUGGUGGGGUAAUGGCUCACCAAGGUGACGAUCCGUAACUGGUCUGAGAGGAUGAUCAGUCACACUGGAACUGAGACACGGUCCAGACUCCUACGGGAGGCAGCAGUGGGGAAUAUUGGACAAUGGGCGAAAGCCUGAUCCAGCCAUGCCGCGUGUGUGAAGAAGGUCUUCGGAUUGUAAAGCACUUUAAGUUGGGAGGAAGGGCAGUAAGUUAAUACCUUGCUGUUUUGACGUUACCGACAGAAUAAGCACCGGCUAACUCUGUGCCAGCAGCCGCAGUAA
RNAcentral lists this ribosomal RNA (500 nucleotides) under uncultured bacterium. RNAcentral's name for it is "partial 16S ribosomal RNA". It matches the Rfam family "Bacterial small subunit ribosomal RNA", at positions 30 to 523 of the family's 1533-position model. The record is from RNAcentral.